Molecule: non-coding RNA, 141 nt
Filed under: Streptomyces incarnatus
Lineage: Bacteria; Bacillati; Actinomycetota; Actinomycetes; Kitasatosporales; Streptomycetaceae
Description: SAM-I sequence
Rfam family: SAM riboswitch aptamer (S box leader)
About the family: The SAM riboswitch is found upstream of a number of genes which code for proteins involved in methionine or cysteine biosynthesis in Gram-positive bacteria. The SAM riboswitch acts at the level of transcription termination control.
Source: RNAcentral
CGCUCAUCCAGAGGGGCAGAGGGACACGGCCCGAUGAAGCCCCGGCAACCCCCCUGAGCCGAACUCGUCUCCGCGAGGCUCCAGGCCAGGGAAGGUGCCAAAUCCGUCUCACGGCGAGGUGCGUCGUGAGGAAGAUGAGGA